GUUUCAGGCUCAAGAGGGACAGAUGGUGACAGUUAGAUGGUGUCCUAACUGCAUCACCAGUGGAUGGAAUGUGAAUUAAAGUGGAAAAGCAUAAAUAAAUGAAAGAAGUGCAAUCGCACACGUGCAUAGUGUCAAGGCUAUUAAAGAUGACUCCGGAUUUUUGUUUCAUUAGAAUACGAUCAAAGACAAAAGCUGGACCAGGAUGAUGCCUUACCUGACGGUCCUGGAGGGCCGGGGGGUCCGCUAGGACACAUAAUCUUCCCACAGGCGCUUGGAGAGUUUCUUUUGCGCCUCUCAUGGAAAAUGUUCUUGAUGUCAACAAUUUCAGUCAUCUGUACAAAGUUAAAAAGUUCGAUGUUAUUGAGCCUUUAGCUCGUCAUAAACAUGCUUCAUUAGCCGUAAGUGAUUUAGAAUGACAGGCGGGUGGGCUCCCCCGCGUGCGUGUUUCUCGUAUUCUGGUAGAGCGACACAGGCCAGUGCAGGAUAAGAUCUCGGUAAACAUAUUUGGGUUCCUGAUGUAGCAGCGAUCAAUUUGUGAUUUUACUUUACAAAGUAACUCUAUAAAAUUAUCAGGAAAAGCGAAGUUCUCCUGUUUAUUUAUCUAUCUACUCUCUUGUUUGUCCAGGUGGAAUCACAAACAGCCGGGAGCCCUAAUAAUGAUAAGAAGAUACAUGAGCUACCCGUAGCGUCAAACACAACCAUCUCGUUAAAAUUGUGGUUCAUUAAGAUGUUCUAAAGUGACUAAUUUGACCAAGACUAACCCUGGAAUGUGUGGCAAGCUUUAACGAUUUGCUCUUUGGGUCAAAAAAGAACUGGUUGCUGCGAUAGAAUUGUGAGGAGAAUGCUCUUGACUGCGAAAUUAACGGCCAAAAGAAGGGGAAAAGAAAGAUGACUGAGAAAAACGAGAAAACGGAAAUGGGAAUGAAUGAGUGAGUCGUAUAUGAUGUUUCCAGUUGGAAUGCAGCAGUUUUUUUUUUCACGAUUGAAAACUUCUAUAUGAAAAAUGGACAAAGAACCCGACGCAGGAAGAUAAAAUUGGCUCAACAUCGUUGAACUUGCUGAAGACCGGGGUCAUUAACAGCGAUUAAAUAUCAACUUUACGGUGUUCGUACACAAUGCCAGCCACGGGAGGCUAAUUAAUGAUGUCGGUGUUGGUAUGCAUUUGCAUUUAAAGAUGAAUUAGCGGUGAAAGUCUCUUCCUUUCCGAGAAUUUUAGUUUCAUGCUGUCUGGUAUGAAAAUCCGGAAGGAAAGUAAAGCUCCGUAUUAUACAACAAUGAGCAACAUGAUAUCCGUUUUUCCUUCGCGUGGAGAUAGUUGAUGACCCCGUUUUAACUGAUAAUUGUGGAGAAUUCGAAUGAUCAUUUCUAUCAGGCGACAGAAAAUGACAUCUUAUUCAAGAGGGAGGUUUAUUUUGGUAACGUGACAGAUAACGAUCAGGAGUAAUGGAUGUAUGCAGAUUUAUCUUCAACACGCAAUCAAGGAUGACCUUUUGUUCCAAAUUUGCAUCAGUUGUCAACAAGGCUGGUUUUGUGGAAAGAGACAUCUCGUCGCGCACUAAGUAUUAUCGAUGACAUGAAUUAAAAUAUCUGAUUGCGUAGGACGUAAUCGUCGAUUAUUUUGGACUUGUUAUACUACCUGAGGUCUUUUGUCCUUGUUUUCACGCUGGUCUUGGGUGCUUGAGGGCGACACAGUCGUCUUAGAAGCGUUAACUGUUCCCUUCUCCAAUAAAACAACUCUACCCCGCAAAUCUUGGACGUAAUGUCUCAACUCGUUGUAAUCUCGCAUCAAAUAAACGACGAAGGCACUCAGUGACACGCAAUACACGAGUAACAACACCAGAGCUAGCGCUACAAGAAGCCGAAGCGAACUUGUUUUCGCUUUUUCCGCCAUUGCUGAUGAGUUCUACGCUGACUCAAUGCGGCUGAGUUGAAAUCGACAUGGCUCACGGCGUCAGGGCUGACUGGAGCUGUAGCGGGGUGGUCAGACAACUUCCUGUCAGCGAGGUCAUUAGUUGAGUUCUUAGAAUUUACGCACCAGGAGUAAAAUUGGAUCACGUGACCUUCUUGUCUGUUUCAGUUUGUCUGCAUUGUGCUCCUUGCGUAGGUUUUGCUGCCUAAAAGGUUGGGAAGAAAUCUGAAAAAAUACCACGCAGAGGUUGGAAAAUUUCCUUAGCCGGAUGGAAAGUAAUGUUGAGGGAAGCUCAGAUAUACAAAUCGAUUGUAAAUGUUCGAAGUAUUAUGAAUACUUUUUUCUAACCCGUCAAACCAAGUUGCUUAAAGGUGAUGUAUAGAGGAAUUCUUGGUUAGAUAACAGGGCUGGUCAGUAGAGCACGAGCGCUACUUUGAAAGUGAUGGGGGGGGGGGGUGGGGAGCGAGUGUGAAAUAAUGCUUGUUUCUCCUCUGUGCCAAAAUAAAGUGACGGUUUUUAAUGACAGUAAUAAUCAUUUAUAAAACAACCUGACAUGCUUCGAAAUGCCACAAGACGCUAGUAUGGGAUCUCUCCUCUUUUCUGGGAAAUCAGGCUCACACCUUGAUGCAGAAGUAUACUUUAUCUUUAAAACAUAGAAGGCUAUGAAGUCUCGCAGCCGCAAUGAUUCUCAAUGGAAGGGAAUAUCCGAGAGCGUAGAGGACUUGGGAAGAUUCCUUUGCUUCUGAUGUAAUGACACCUUACGGCCUGCUUCAUUAGGGAAUGUCGGAGAAGGGGAGGGGGGGGGGGAAUGCUCCGCUCACAAGUCACGAAAACCAAAAAUCAUGAAGCACCACCAUAAACGGAGUACCAAGAAAUUUGAAGAGGGAACACACCAAAGCAGCAAAAACAGAAGCCGAUAAAAGUAAUUAACCUCAUAAACUUUAUUUCAAUUUCAAAUUAAACGUAUCCAAAUAAA
Pocillopora verrucosa is the source of this 2885-nucleotide non-coding RNA. The record is from RefSeq and is a predicted model, not a curated record. Lineage: Eukaryota; Metazoa; Cnidaria; Anthozoa; Scleractinia; Pocilloporidae.